GGGUAGUGGCUCAGUGGUGGAGCACUUGCCUAGCACGUGUGAGGCACUGGGUUCGAUCCCCAGCACCCA
RNAcentral lists this transfer RNA (69 nucleotides) under Marmota marmota marmota (Alpine marmot). It matches the Rfam family "tRNA". From Rfam's summary of the family: Transfer RNA (tRNA) molecules are approximately 80 nucleotides in length. Their secondary structure includes four short double-helical elements and three loops (D, anti-codon, and T loops). Lineage: Eukaryota; Metazoa; Chordata; Mammalia; Rodentia; Sciuridae. The record is from Rfam by way of RNAcentral. RNAcentral also lists the same sequence under 1 other name.